CGGUUGAUCCUGCCGGAGGCUACUGCUAUCGGGGUUCGAUUAAGCCAUGCGAGUUAAAUGUUCUUCGUGAACAUAGCGGACGGCUCAGUAACACGUGGAUAACCUACCCUUAGGACCGGAAUAACCCCGGGAAACUGGGGAUAAUACCGGAUAAGCCAUAGACGCUGGAAUGCCCUAUGGUUCAAAGCUCCGGCGCCUAAGGAUGGGUCUGCGGUCUAUCAGGUUGUAGUGGGUGUAACGGAUCUACUAGCCGACGACGGAUACGGGUUGUGAGAGCAAGAGCCCGGAGAUGGGUUCUGAGACAAGAAUCCAGGCCCUACGGGGUGCAGCAGGCGCGAAAACUUUACAAUGCGGGAAACCGCGAUAAGGGAACCCCGAGUGCCAGCAUCAAAUGUUGGCUGUCCAAGUGAUUAAAAAUCAUUUGUUAGCAAGGGCCGGGCAAGACCGGUGCCAGCCGCCGCGGUAACACCGGCGGCCCAAGUGGUAGCCGUUUUUAUUGGGUCUAAAGGGUCCGUAGCCGGCCUGAUAAGUCCUUUGGGAAAUCUGGCAGCUUAACUGUCAAGCUUCCAAGGGAUACUGUCAGGCUUGGGACCGGAAGAGGUAAGGGGUACUCCAGGGGUAGGGGUGAAAUCUAUUAAUCCCUGGGGGACCACCUGUGGCGAAGGCGCCUUACCAGAACGGGUCCGACGGUGAGGGACGAAAGCUAGGGGCGCGAACCGGAUUAGAUACCCGGGUAGUCCUAGCUGUAAACGAUGCUCGCUAGGUGUCAGACACGGUGCGACCGUGUUUGGUGCCGCAGGGAAGCCGUUAAGCGAGCCACCUGGGAAGUACGGUCGCAGGCUGAAACUUAAAGGAAUUGGCGGGGGAGCAC
This 871-nucleotide ribosomal RNA is filed under the name uncultured archaeon. Its description in RNAcentral is "bacterial SSU rRNA". It matches the Rfam family "Archaeal small subunit ribosomal RNA", at positions 5 to 879 of the family's 1478-position model. The record is from RNAcentral.